This 480-nucleotide long non-coding RNA is filed under the name Lactuca sativa (garden lettuce). RNAcentral's name for it is "long non-coding RNA (LSAT_LNC007913)". Lineage: Eukaryota; Viridiplantae; Streptophyta; Magnoliopsida; Asterales; Asteraceae. The record is from RNAcentral.
GGAUACCACCAUGAAUCUUGAUAAAAGGUCCUGGUUCUUUGUAAACCCAACUUUCUUCUUUUGAUUAAUGACUUGCUCUAUAAGAAAGUUAACAUUUUGAACUGCUUCUUUGAGCUUUCUCUCCGAUCCCAUAUUCAGUAUCCUAUUCGCCUUCCAUAUCAGUGGAGAAGCAGACAAAGCUCUCUUAGCCGACAAUGUUGUGGCUAGAUCAAACGAAUCAGAGAAUUGAGAAAUAUGAAAAGGUAAUUCGGGUGAAUUUAGAUCUAAACCCAAAGAAAAUCUACAAAUAUAUUCAAAUGAAAAUUGUCUAAAGACAGAUUGUAGAUCCACUAAACCUCCAUCUCUUUCUCUAGUAGCCGAAGAUAGAAACGGGAGAAGUCGACUUUGAACGUGGUAACAGACAUUCGCGAAGGCAUUCGACACAUUUCCGAGCUCCAAACUUGCCAUCUUUCUCUGAAAUAACCAUGAAUCACCAUCGAC